UACGUAGGCAGCAAGCGUUGUUCGGAAUUACUGGGCGUAAAGAGUGUGUAGGCGGUGCUCCAAGUCUGGUGUGAAAUCUCCCGGCUCAACUGGGAGGGUGCGCUAGAAACUGGAAUGCUAGAGGAUGGGAGAGGUAAGCGGAAUUCCUGGUGUAGCGGUGAAAUGCGUAGAUAUCAGGAGGAACACCUGUGGUGUAGACAGCUUACUGGACCAUUUCUGACGCUGAGACACGAAAGCGUGGGUAGAAACAGG
Molecule: ribosomal RNA, 252 nt
Filed under: uncultured bacterium
Lineage: Bacteria
Description: partial 16S ribosomal RNA
Rfam family: Bacterial small subunit ribosomal RNA
Source: RNAcentral